RNAcentral lists this transfer RNA (75 nucleotides) under Endomicrobium sp. RNAcentral's name for it is "tRNA-His". It matches the Rfam family "tRNA". From Rfam's summary of the family: Transfer RNA (tRNA) molecules are approximately 80 nucleotides in length. Their secondary structure includes four short double-helical elements and three loops (D, anti-codon, and T loops). Further hydrogen bonds mediate the characteristic L-shaped molecular structure. tRNAs have two regions of fundamental functional importance: the anti-codon, which is responsible for specific mRNA codon recognition, and the 3' end, to which the tRNAs corresponding amino acid is attached (by aminoacyl-tRNA synthetases). tRNAs cope with the degeneracy of the genetic code in two manners: having more than one tRNA (with a specific anti-codon) for a particular amino acid; and 'wobble' base-pairing, i.e. permitting non-standard base-pairing at the 3rd anti-codon position. Lineage: Bacteria; Pseudomonadati; Elusimicrobiota; Endomicrobiia; Endomicrobiales; Endomicrobiaceae. The record is from RNAcentral.
GUGACUGUAGCUCAAUUUGGAUAGAGCGUUGGUUUGUGGAACCAAUGGUUGCGGGUUCAAAUCCCGUCAGUCACC